CCCAAUUAAGAUACUCUUCCCAAAUCAUUCAUGGAGGAAUGUUUAGACAAAUUUAUCUUUACUUAUUGUAGCAUUGGUAUGUAAUUCCUUAUCCAUAGUACAUCAACAUAUAAUACUAGGAAUGUCAAGGCGCUCCCACUGACCCUUUUGUACACACUAGGUUCAUUCUUGUUUUUGAUAAAAUUAAACUCUUUUGAUUGUCUCAUCAAAAUGAAUGUUCCAUUUUUGAGAAACUUGUUUCAAUACAUUUCUUUGAGUGUCUAAAACUCUUACCUCAUCAUAUGUAACUGGAUCAUCAUCUUCUAUGAUGCGUACCUCAUCAUCAUAAUCCAUGAUGAAU
RNAcentral lists this long non-coding RNA (340 nucleotides) under Panax ginseng (ginseng). Its description in RNAcentral is "long non-coding RNA (PGIN_LNC004028)". The record is from RNAcentral. Lineage: Eukaryota; Viridiplantae; Streptophyta; Magnoliopsida; Apiales; Araliaceae.